RNAcentral lists this ribosomal RNA (267 nucleotides) under uncultured bacterium. RNAcentral's name for it is "partial 16S ribosomal RNA". It matches the Rfam family "Bacterial small subunit ribosomal RNA", at positions 69 to 334 of the family's 1533-position model. The record is from RNAcentral.
CGGGGAGGUAGCAAUACCUUUGCCGGCGACCGGCGCACGGGUGAGUAACACGUAUCCAACCUGCCGAUAACUCGGGGAUAGCCUUUCGAAAGAAAGAUUAAUAUCCGAUAGUAUAUUAAAACCGCAUGGUUUUACUAUUAAAGAAUUUCGGUUAUCGAUGGGGAUGCGUUCCAUUAGUUUGUUGGCGGGGUAACGGCCCACCAAGACUACGAUGGAUAGGGGUUCUGAGAGGAAGGUCCCCCACAUUGGAACUGAGACACGGUCCAA